AACAUUCUGUCUUGGGAAUAAAGCAGAGUUCAAGUUAUGGGAAGAAGAAUUCUGUGAAGAAGUGUAAUAGUAAGAGAAGCCACUUUCUCUUCUACUCCUUGACUAUGGACUUGUGUACUGUGGCUUUGGGAGAAAUAGUGCCAUACAUUGGUCAAUGGCUCAAAGCAUAUAUUGUUCUUUGCAGACAGGCCCAACCUUACAAAAUGUUUCUCAGCUCAGGUUGUAACUGAGUCUGUAGUAGGCCAUUCCAUUGUUAUAUUGGGCCAGAUAUUUCUAGAUGGUGGGGUGUGCAGUAAGACUAUUUCUUUCUAUGAUUUGCAAACUCUAAUUACACUUCUAAGAUGUGUUCCUUAGAAGCUGUGUUGAGUAGGAUACCAUGAUAUUGAGUAAGGAAUUAUGUGGUAGUGUUGGCAGAAACACAAUGGGCAGGAAAGGCAAAUCCAUACACAGAAUAGAUGUCUAUUCUAGCACAAACAAAUGGCUUUCAUUUCCAUGAUGGAAGGGGUGCUUUAUAAUCAAUGUACCAACACGCAGUUGGCUGAUCGCCUUGGGAAAUGGUGCCAUAUUGGAGACUCACAGUUUAGAUUCUGUUCUUGAUAAUUUGGGCACUCAGUGCCAACAGAUUAGCUUGGUGAGGGGAAGUCCACUUUGUUGGGUCUGUGCUUCAUUUCUGCCACUGUGACCAUUUUGUACAUAAGCCCAUUAAAACAGAAGAUGAGGAAAGAUGCUGACUGAUAGUCCCAGAACAAGUCACUUUGUUCACCCCUAUUGUUGAAGCCUCCUCUACAGUGGAUGUACCUUGGUAAGCACUCACACAAUUUCCUUCACAUUUAGCACUCAUUCUGAAAGAUCUGUGCAUGUGUCUCUUCUUCAGCCUUCCUAGUUAUCAAUCUUCCAGGCUUGUUCUUUUCAAUUUCCUGACCAGGUGACCAAAGCAUUAUUCACUGUCCACAGAUGAGUGUACCACAGGCCAUCCCUCCUUCCUGGCUGAGGGGACUUCAAGGUGUACUGCCAAAACUUCUGCCCUCUGGGAGGGUUUUCCUUCACCAUUCCUCUUCAGCGGCAUCUCUGAGUGAGUAUACUGGUACUAGUGUAAUGUGGACACCCUUCUGUGAACCAGGCCCAAGUUGGUUUAAAUUUGUUUUUAAUUUUUUUUUGGAAAAUUUUAAAUUUUUCUCAGCAAUUUGUAAGUGCCUUGUAUUUAGAUAAU
Molecule: long non-coding RNA, 1210 nt
Filed under: Papio anubis (olive baboon)
Lineage: Eukaryota; Metazoa; Chordata; Mammalia; Primates; Cercopithecidae
Description: lncRNA (ENSPANG00000050306.1)
Source: RNAcentral